Long non-coding RNA from Ornithodoros turicata, 1938 nucleotides. RefSeq lists it as uncharacterized. The transcript has 5 exons. The record is from RefSeq and is a predicted model, not a curated record. NCBI's taxonomy places the organism in Eukaryota, Metazoa, Arthropoda, Arachnida, Ixodida, Argasidae.
ACGUAACGGGGAUGAUGGGUUCGAGGUGGCCGAUAUCGCCGUCACGAGCCCGACUGCUUCCCGACUAUGUGAGGGGGAAGAAUUGAGGGAGAGGGAAACUACAUAAAAUUAUUUCCCGAUAGAUCCCCGUUCGUGUCCCGGUCAGAAUUCUUUCCCGAUAGAUUCCCGUUUGCGUCCCGGCCAGGAUUCUUUCCCGAUGGAUCCCCGUUAACGUCCCGAUCUGCUGUGGUGUACUGGCUAAGUAUUUCUUCCCGCUCGUCUCCCGAUGUUUAUGCAGAUUCGGUAACACGUGAUCGGAUGGUACAGCUCGAGACAAAGUUUCUGAAACACGGGUUUUCUGUAUUGGACUUUUCCCAGCCACCUUUGGGAAAUGCUUGUUGAGCAGAAUCCUUGGGGAUUCUGUUCAACAAGUGUUCCCCUUAGGCCGCAGGGGAGGCGUAGAGAAGUGAAAUACAAAACACCCGUGUUUCAGAAACUUUUGUCCCAAGCUGUACGAGACAGUGAAGCAUCCCUUCAGGAAGGAAUUUGGCUGUCUGGUAUGAGGUAACUCUUUCAAACAUUGGGCUGCAGUUCACUUCAUGUGUUGUGUUGUGUUGUGUUGUAUGACGGAAAACAUGCACACGCAGCACCCUGAACAGAAGUAUUAAUGGAGCCUCACUGCAAAGCACGCAAGUACAAGAUACUCGGGAAGAGUCGGCCACGCCCGAACGAAACGACCGAAUCUCCCGAAUCGAAAAACUCACGUGAAACGAAACGAAGAGAGCUUUAGCAAGUCGAACUGAUCGGACGAAAACCGCUGCACCGAAACCCGCAAAGACUACGCUGGAGCUCCCUGCAUUUGGGCUACCGCGACUGCCAUCGCCAUCAUCUUUGUUUUGGUUGUCAUUGCUGGGUGCAAAUGGCCGGCGUGUGUGUUCUUAAUGUUUCUGAGCAACAAGUUUUGCAAAGUUUGGUUCGGAGGGAGUAUGGAACGCCGUUUUGUGGUCAACGUGGCCAGAGUGCCUCAAAAGUACUCCUGCCGCAUUCUGGUCACUGUUAUAAAUGUGAAUCCCUGCCACCAUCAGCAGCUUUUAAGUAGAUUCAUGGCACAUGAGGAACCUGCGAUGUACACCAUCGCACACAGUCAAGAAAAAUGUAGCAUUUAACCUUGCUUUCCUUCAUUAUAACAAACAAAAAAAAGAAAGAAAGAAAGAACACUAGAGAAAGGGUCGGCAAAACAGUGCUGUCGUUCUUGCAACCCGUCUGAUAUUGCAACUGUCUGUAAGUGGAAGCGUUUCUUCUAACCGCGAGCAAACCAGUCGGUCUCGUUUGACAUGUCAAAGAGUGAAGACGCUACCUUGCAUGUGAAGCCAAAUCGUUCUUCGCCUUCAGGAUUAUUGCCGUUUCAGGGAUCUGCGCAACGACAGGGAGAUAGAACGCCAAGUGAAGUCGACUGUGUACUUUGUGCAGACGGUUCAGCGUGUAUGACGCAGCGGCCUUCAGCAAGAGAAACUCAAGCACCGUGUUCAAAUGCAGUGGGGACUCUUGCUGGCCAUGACAACGCUUAGAAGUGCUUUUUCGGAAGAAGGACAAGUUGGACCGGAAAUGAGGACCUAGGUGUGCUCUUUUGCGCUGUUGUUCACCGUUCGAUCAUUACCAGUUUUUGUGCCCCCGUGAGUUCAACGCUUAGGUAUGUUGAUGAUAAAUGGAUAUGCGUUAAAAGGUACGUACUCCGGAGUGGUGAAUUGUUCUGGUGAAGUGAUUCGUUGCUGCUAUCUCCUGUUUCGUGAGGGUUCUUGUCGGUACUCAUAUACCGCAGGCAUGAGGGGCUUUCUUUGCAGAACAUUUCAGUAAACCAAGACUGCAGCAUUUUCAAGAUUGCCAUAACCAGCAUCAAUGCAGCUCUCAUGUCAACAUCAGCAUCAAGACAGCUCUGAUAGACCACCUCUUACUGUGUAC